Molecule: long non-coding RNA, 482 nt
Organism: Centruroides sculpturatus (bark scorpion)
Lineage: Eukaryota; Metazoa; Arthropoda; Arachnida; Scorpiones; Buthidae
Exons: 3
Source: RefSeq, a predicted model, not a curated record
CAGUUAUCAUUAUAAAAAAAAGUAUUAAAAAAAAGAGAAAAUUUAUGUGUUGCAAUAACAAAUUGCAAAUUAAAAUCCAAGAGGAAAACACCAGUUAGAGGGAUACAUUCUCAUCGAGGGAUAUAAUGUAAAAAUAUUGCAGUAAAAUCAAUAACGUUUUCUACGAUACAUAAACUAUGGGCUCGUAGCAAUCAUUUCAAGGUGAAUUGUCAUUCAUUCCUUAAAAGUUUAUGAGAAAAUCUUAUUUAUUUAAGGUAUUUUACAUUUUGAAUGCGAAUAAUCUAAACAUUUAUACCAGCUACAAUUAGCAUUCGAUAAAAGAUAAGCUGCAUAUUUAUUACUAAAUAAAUACUUCAGUAUUGCAUCGAAUACACCGAUAUUUCCUGAUGGAAUUAUGAAUAAUUCAUUUACAUUUGAUUUAUGACACGAUACUUCUUUCUCCUUACUAAACUGACUUUUCCUGCCAUCAAAAUUGUUUUAUA